ACAAGAGACAGACUGAGGGAAAAUAUUUCCAACACAUGGAACAGAGGACUAACAGCCCUAGUGUACGACAAGCAGGGUCUUUUGGGGAGGCAAUUAUGUAGUGUCCGUUAAAACUGUAAAUGCCCAUAGGUUUUGACCUGGCAGGUCCACUUAGAGGUAGUUAUUCUAGGGUGACAUGGACACAUGUUCCGAGCAGGUAGCAAAAACAAAGAGAAAGGAGAAGAAGAAGAAGGGAAAAGGUAAAAGUUCAUCAGUUGGGGAUUUGUUAUGCAAAUUAUAGGGCGUGUACCCUAUCAAAUACCGCGUGGCCAGAGAAGAAAUGAGCUAGAGGUUUCUGUACUGACGUGGAAGAAUUUCGAAGCUCUAUUAUUGCUAGUUAAAAGAAGAUCACAGCCGAAUGUGCAGGGUUUGUGUUUUUUAAAACUGUGUGAGUAUGUUGGUGAUUGCAUACAAGAACAUAGUUAGAAGUGAGAAACAGAACUGUUAACAGUCUUGCUUAAGAUAAUGUUUUGUGAAAAUGUUCAAUUAUGUGCUUUAAAAAUAUGCGGGCUGCUAACGUGUAAAAUGGUCCAGCCACCGUGGAAUGCAAAUUGGCAGCUUCUUCCAAGGCUAAACUUCCACUUCCUUAGAACCCAGCAGUUGCAUUGUUGGGCAGGCAUGCCAAAGAAAUGGAAACUUCUGACCACAGGAAAACCUGUACACGCAUGUCCAUAGCAGGUUUAUUUGUAGAAGCCUAAAAGUGGGAAUCGGCAACAUGUCCCUCAGCGGGUGAAGGCCUGAACAAACUGGCUGAUCCACACCAAGGACGACAGCUAGCAAUACAAAGGAAGAACUAACUAUUGAUACCUGCAGCCAUUCCGAUGGAUGGAUCUCAAGAGCAGUGUGUGCGUGAAAAAAAGCCCUGGGUGGCUCGCGGGAUCCUAGCUCCGGCCGGGAGCAGGGAUGGAACCCCCGCCCUUGGCAGUGAGAGCGGGGACUCCUAACCACCGGACCGCCAGGGAAGUCCUUAUGUAAUGUCUUCAAAUGACAAAAUUACAGAGCUGAGAAUAGAAUCCGGUUGCCAUGGGUUGGGAGGAGGAGGAGGGAGGGGGCUGUGGCUAUGAAAGGUCUACAGGAGGGGUCCUUGUCAGGGGACGGGCUGGAUAUUGAUGGCAGUGGUGGUCACCUGAGUUCACACACACACACACACACACACACACACACACACACACACACACGGGGAUAAAACCCGGAGCAGCUCUCCGCUGGCACCAAUGCCCUUUCCUGGUGUGCGGUCCCACUAGCUGUGCAACAGGCUGACUGACGCUGGGGGAACUGCGGGUUGUGCUCCGGCCUCUUGGACGAUUCCGUGUAACUUCCUGUGAACUUAAUUCCUUCAUAAUACAAGUUCAUACCAAAAGCACACAAGCAGGGCUUAGCGUGUACACGUCGAACCACUCGCGCGACUCUCCACGGACAGUGCCCGCUCUCCCGGCGGGGACACCUAGAGGCCCGCAGCCGGCCCGGCCGGCGGCUGAGGAAAAACCGCCGGGGGGCAGAGCCGAGAGGGGCGCGCAGGGGGUCGGCUUGUUUUGAUUGGGCAACGGAGGUGCCCGUCACACCAGGGGGCCGGGUUUCCUGGGGGCGGGUCUCGUCACGAGUCGAGCUUGGUCACUGGCGGAGCCAGCUGGAAGGGGUGGGCAGGAAAGCGGUGUUUGCGGGUUCCGGUGGGCGCGCUGAGGGGCCGUGAGGAGACCGGCGCGGGGGCAGUCAGGGCGGGGCUCGACGCCCCGGGACGACGCCCCGGCCUUGUGGUCACCGCCCACCUUCCCCGUACUCCGCCCCGCGCCCCUCUGGGUCCUGGGCCUGGCCAGAGUCCCCGUUCCCCGAGCGCCCGGGGGCCCACGCCCUCUCCCGGGGAGAGGCUGAGGAGAAGCCUCCACCGAGUCCAGGCCCCUGGAGACCUCGGGGGCUCCGUCGGGCGCCCCUCCCGCCGCUCCCGGCAGGAUUCCCCGCACUGUCCUGAGGGCGUCUGGCGCUCGAGAUGGCCAGGGACAGUGUAUUGGGGGUGCCCAGGGGCCCGGUGAGGGGGGGAAAGGAGGGCGGCGACCCCACCGGGAUGGCAAAGGGCACGGACACUCCGUCUGCGCCCCCACCCCCCCAGUCCUGGCCUCUGAGGGCGGCCUUGGCUCCGCGCUUCUGAGAGCUUCCACCCUCCCGCCACCCCACCCCUUGCCUGGCCCACUGUGUUCCAGCGCCCCUGAGUGUGAUUCGGACGGUUCCCUGUGAAGCACGGAUCCUCCCCCCUCCACACACACGUGGUAUCCAGGGAGAGGUGUGGCGUGCUGGGAAGGAAUCCUGCCCAAGCACGCCUGUUCUCCAGGACAACCUGUGGGUGCCUGCCUGCCUGCCUGCCUGCCUGUCUGCCUCUCACCUGGGAGGUCAAGCCCUCUCCAGCCGCCGCCGCCGCCGCCGCCGCCGCCUUUCCUGCCAAACGUUCCUCACCAAGAGGGUCUCCCAGCUCCCGGGUGAUGCUGCCCAGACCUGCUCAACGCCCAGCGCCACCACCCACCGUUCUGGCCAGUCUUUUCGGUGGCUGGUCUUUGUUCGGCUCCAGGAUGGCCCGCCUUCUAGUUGGAGCCGCAGAGCAAAUGCUGUGCCAGUCACCAGCCACCAUGUGUGCCCGGAACCGGCAGCUCUGGGACCCCAACCCCCCGAGCACGUUCUGGCUGUGGGAUCAGAUGGGGGGGGGUAGCCUUUGGCUUGCAUUUUCCUUGGUCCCCUCCUGCACCCCCUUUUCCUUUGCGUCGUUGGGCUUUCCUUGUUGACCGGUUCAAGCUCUCUAUGCGUUAACGAUAUGAGCCCUGAGUCACGUCUUGCUACUAUUUUUUUGCCCCGCUUUGUCACUUGUGUCUUGACUUUGUGGUUUGGGGUUUGUGUUUGGCCAGGCAUACGAUUCUAGUGUUUGUGUCAUCAGACUUUCCAGGCUUCUCCUAAUGGCUUCUGGGGCUUCUCGUCGGUUUGUUUGCUUCAGACUGACUUGGAGUGGUCUUCUCCGUUUAAAAUCAUCGUGUAUUAGUUACUCGGUGCUGCAUAAGAGACUACCCCAAUCGUAGCACCUUAACACAGCCAACCGUCGUAAUCUCCUGCGUGUGUGAAGCACAGGAUUCUAGAAGGCUUGGCUGGGGGCGUCUGGCUUGGGGUCCAUCACAGGCUGCAGUCGAGUCCUCCGCUGGGGCCACAGCCCCCUGGUCUGCCUAGGGUGUGGGGAUGGGCGGGGGCCGCUCUGCUUCCAAGAUGGCGUGCGUGGAUGUGGCGGGGCCUCGGGCCUCCCCACUGGGCCUGUCCCUAGGGCUGCUCAGGGCAGGGCUUCGCCAGAGCCCACCACCUAGGACAGAGCAGCCCCGAGAUCAAGGCCGCAGUGUUCCUCUAAGAACUUCACCUCGAAGUGACAACCCCUCACCUCUGCUGUAUUUUUAUGGCUCACACAGGUCAACCCAGGAAGAGCGGAGGAGGGGGACGGUACCCGCUAGGGCGUAGCUUGUUCGCGUUCAGGGCGGAUGAGAAGGCUCCAAGGAGUGUCCUCGCUCCUGAAUCUGGGUGCGGGACUCCUGGUCCGCACAGGCCCCUUGGCAAUGCGUUCUUCGUCUGAGCGGGGGGUGGCAGGUUCCAGCCCAGGACCGAGACAGGGAGGGCCUGUGUUUGUAAGGGCAGAGUGGCUUUUCACCUUUAAACAGUUGCAGACAAAACACACUACAAGCCAGAGAAAGAGGGACUUCCCUGGUGGCGCAGUGGUUAAGAACCCGCCUGCCAGUGCAGGGGACACGGGUUCGAGCCCUGGUCCCGGAAGAUCCCACGUGCCGUGGAGCAACGAAGCCCGUGCGCCACAGCUACUGAGCCUGCGCUCUAGAGCCCGCGCGCCACAACUGCUGCGCCCACGAGCCUGAACUACUGAAGCCCGCGCACCUAGAGCCCGUGCUCCGCAAUGAGAAGCCCGCGCACCGCAACUAGAGAAAGCCCGCGCGCAGCGACGAAGACCCACCGCAGCCAAAAAUAGAUAAAAUUUUCAAAACAAAGUUAAAAAAGAAAAAGCCAGAGGAAAGAAAGAACAUGUGGCAGGACCCCAGCGUGGCCCACAAAGCCAGCGGUGCGUGCCCUCUGCCCAGGAGUUUGCAGCCCUGGUGGGAGUGCCGGCUAGUUGCGCUGCCGUGGGUGCGGGGGCCGGAAGCGCUUUCUCGUCACAGCAGCCCAUCCACUGCCAGGGCCAUGCAAGUGCGCCCCCAGGCCUGGGCCCCGGUGCUCUCCCACCUCCAAGGUCCCCACCCCCUCUCCUUCCCAGUGGGGUGGGGGCGGGGGCAGCUACCUUGCCUGAGGCUGGGGUGGCCUCUCUGUGCCCAUAGGUGCAGGCCCUCCUCUCCCCACUCCCCUCCCCGCCCUGCCAGCCUCCCACCGAGCAGCUGGGAAGUGGGUAGGGGCAGGGAGCAGAGAGGGGUGGGCCCCAUUGUGAGGGUGCAGGCUGGCGAGCCCCUUGUCCUCAGUGACCAUGCCAGGUAGCCCCGGGCUGGGCUGUGAUGGCUCAGCAGUGGCAGGCGCCAGCCCGGGGUGGCAGCCGAGUGUCCCUUUGGUCCCAGGAAGGAGCUCCCACUGUGGCCAAGGGAGAGGUGCCCGCCGCAUCCUUCUUGGCUGGGACUCAGAUGUGACUCCCUGAUGACCCGCUUGGUGGCUCUGAAUUGGUCACGCAGGUUCUGUGGGCGGCGAGUACCUUUCCUGUUGGCUCUCGCUGCUGGGCAACGCCGGGGCCCUUGGAGACAGCUCCCCGGCCCCGACCGAGGCCGCCAUGCACUUCUUGAACCCCAGGACCGUGGGUGUCGGGAGAGCUGGGCCCUCUGUCUCCGUCCCAGGAGCAGAGGCCGAGGCCGAGGCCGUGCUUGCUGGGCCCGGCCUCGUGGCUGUGGUGGUGGCUGCCGGGGACACCCUCCGGCCGGGAGGUGGGGCCGCAGGGUCCUAGGGCUCCGGGAGACGCUCGGGCCCGCUGCAGCCCCACACUCCUGGGCCAUCUGACUGUCCCCCUAAGUAGAGCCACCUUCCAGUCCCUCAGGCCUGGGCAGAAGGCAGGACAAGGCGGGCCCGGCUCCCCUGCAGUCUUCCCUCGGAGGCGGCCUGCCCACGGGGGCCCGGGGCACUGCGUGGGCGCCGGCCCUCCCUUGCCCGGGGGAGCUCUUCCUAGCGGCCCGCUCUGCGGAUGGGCAUAAUCAGGGCAGCAGCCAGGCCCUGUCCCCACCCAGCCGCCACCCACCUGCAGGGCACAUCCUUGGCCCUCACCCUCUCCGCCCGCCCGAGGACCUGGUGCCACCCCGCUGAGCGCGGGCGUCUGUACCUGGCCCGUCCUCAGCAGGUGCUCCGACCCAAGGGCAGUCCCCCAGCCCCGCCCAUUGUUUAGCGCUGUCCUCAGUCCUGCUCCCCUGGCUGCGGCCUCGCUGGGCUUGUGGGGACCUUCCAGACACACGCACGCGCACACACACACGCACGCACACUCUCCCAUCACUGGCUUCAUCGGGGUUCCUGGGGGGUGUGGAGGUGGCUGCCCUGGAGAGCCCUGGCCCUGUGCCCUGGAGUUGGGUGAGGCCGCCCGUGCUGGGGGCUUGCACGGGAAUCCCAAGGGUCUCCAGACUACUGUCUCCCUUGUUGAAGUGCUGGGGCUCCCUCACUGUCGGGUGGGCGGCAGUCCCAUCCUGAGGGGCCGGUGCUCCGCUUUCCUCAGCCGGGUCCCUCCCAUCCUCCUGGGGGAGCGGACAGCAGGGAGGGUCGGGUGCAGAGGUGUGGCCAGAGCAGGGGUGGAGGCUGGCCGAGGGGUGUGGGUGGUCAGCUCCACCAUCCCCCUGCCCUGCCCUGCCCGCAGCUGGACCUGCAGGACAGGGGGCUGCUCCCAGCUGGCGCGACCAGCCACCCCCUCCCCAGACCUAGUAGGUGAGAUGGGGCCAGCCUGGGGGAAGGCGUGUGGCUGGGGCCUCGUCUCUGCUCCUGGCACCUGCUGGUGAGCGGGCCUCGGGCGUGGGCGUGGGGCCUGUUGGAGCUGGGCCACCACCCCUGCUGGCUCUGGGUGGGUGGCGUGUGAACCUGGCUGAGGCCCAGGCCUCGCACUUCCCUGUCUCCUAGCAGCCGGGGUGUCCUCUGGGGGAUUUGCUCAGUGGGGCCGGGUCCCAAGCCAUUUGCCCCCCAGCAGGAUGGGGUCUCGGUGGUCCUUUUCCUGGCGCCAUCUGCCUGUUCCUCCCCACCCCCAGAAGCCCCGGCAGGGAUGGCGCCCCAGUCUCGCUCCCUCCUGACCCCUGCCUGGGCGGGCCUCAGGCUCAGGCCUGGUCUGUCCCGUGGCCUCUGUCCUCAGGGCUGUCGUCAGGGUCCUGUUUCCCCCCUCCAGGGUGGCAUCUUUUCCCCCCCCGCUACCGCCUAGCGUGCCUCAUGGCUGCCUGGGUGUGAUGUGGAGUCCGGGGCGGGGACGGAGCCUCCCGGUUAAGCUCAGCCUGGCUCUGGGGCCGUUCUCCCAUGGGGGCCCGUCCAGCAGGCGGGUUCGGAAAGGACGGGAGACAGCACUGUCUCCUCCUGGCGGACUCGUGCAGGGAGCAGGCAGGAGGCUGUGGGUGAGCCGGCGGGAGGGGCGCCUGGUGGGCCGA
Physeter macrocephalus (sperm whale) is the source of this 6647-nucleotide long non-coding RNA. RefSeq lists it as uncharacterized. The record is from RefSeq and is a predicted model, not a curated record. The transcript has 3 exons. NCBI's taxonomy places the organism in Eukaryota, Metazoa, Chordata, Mammalia, Artiodactyla, Physeteridae.